CAGUCGAGCGGAACGAGUUAUCUGAACCUUCGGGGGACGAUAACGGCGUCGAGCGGCGGACGGGUGAGUAAUGCCUAGGAAAUUGCCCUGAUGUGGGGGAUAACCAUUGGAAACGAUGGCUAAUACCGCAUAAUACCUACGGGUCAAAGAGGGGGACCUUCGGGCCUCUCGCGUCAGGAUAUGCCUAGGUGGGAUUAGCUAGUUGGUGAGGUAAUGGCUCACCAAGGCGACGAUCCCUAGCUGGUCUGAGAGGAUGAUCAGCCACACUGGAACUGAGACACGGUCCAGACUCCUACGGGAGGCAGCAGUGGGGAAUAUUGCACAAUGGGCGCAAGCCUGAUGCAGCCAUGCCGCGUGUGUGAAGAAGGCCUUCGGGUUGUAAAGCACUUUCAGUCGUGAGGAAGGUAGUGUAGUUAAUAGCUGCAUUAUUUGACGUUAGCGACAGAAGAAGCACCGGCUAACUCCGUGCCAGC
Molecule: ribosomal RNA, 473 nt
Filed under: bacterium 2311-S1-10-1
Lineage: Bacteria
Description: bacterial SSU rRNA
Rfam family: Bacterial small subunit ribosomal RNA
Source: RNAcentral